Molecule: ribosomal RNA, 442 nt
Filed under: uncultured Bifidobacteriaceae bacterium
Lineage: Bacteria; Bacillati; Actinomycetota; Actinomycetes; Bifidobacteriales; Bifidobacteriaceae
Description: bacterial SSU rRNA
Rfam family: Bacterial small subunit ribosomal RNA
Source: RNAcentral
GUGGGGAAUAUUGCACAAUGGGCGCAAGCCUGAUGCAGCGACGCCGCGUGCGGGAUGGAGGCCUUCGGGUUGUAAACCGCUUUUGUUCAAGGGCAAGGCACGGUUUCGGCCGUGUUGAGUGGAUUGUUCGAAUAAGCACCGGCUAACUACGUGCCAGCAGCCGCGGUAAUACGUAGGGUGCGAGCGUUAUCCGGAUUUAUUGGGCGUAAAGGGCUCGUAGGCGGUUCGUCGCGUCCGGUGUGAAAGUCCAUCGCCUAACGGUGGAUCUGCGCCGGGUACGGGCGGGCUGGAGUGCGGUAGGGGAGACUGGAAUUCCCGGUGUAACGGUGGAAUGUGUAGAUAUCGGGAAGAACACCAAUGGCGAAGGCAGGUCUCUGGGCCGUCACUGACGCUGAGGAGCGAAAGCGUGGGGAGCGAACAGGAUUAGAAACCCCAGUAGUCC